Molecule: transfer RNA, 75 nt
Filed under: bacterium
Lineage: Bacteria
Description: tRNA-Arg
Rfam family: tRNA
About the family: Transfer RNA (tRNA) molecules are approximately 80 nucleotides in length. Their secondary structure includes four short double-helical elements and three loops (D, anti-codon, and T loops). Further hydrogen bonds mediate the characteristic L-shaped molecular structure. tRNAs have two regions of fundamental functional importance: the anti-codon, which is responsible for specific mRNA codon recognition, and the 3' end, to which the tRNAs corresponding amino acid is attached (by aminoacyl-tRNA synthetases). tRNAs cope with the degeneracy of the genetic code in two manners: having more than one tRNA (with a specific anti-codon) for a particular amino acid; and 'wobble' base-pairing, i.e. permitting non-standard base-pairing at the 3rd anti-codon position.
Source: RNAcentral
GCCCUCGUCGUUCAACGGACAGGACACGGGAUUGCGGAUCCCGUAAUAGAGGUUCGAUUCCUCUCGAGGGCACCA